CCAACCAUGAAUCAAGUGCAACUAACCGGACACUGUUUCCAAACAUGCAUUGAAAAGCCUUUGAACAACAGCGGUGCCACAAUAAAUGUGGCCAGAGAUACUGGCCGGUCAUACAAUCUGUUUUAGAGAGGUUUGUUUAUUGAAGACUUAGCCUUAGGUAAAUAAAAUAUGCACACGAACGCCGUCUGACAUACGCUGCCUUUAUCUACUGACAUUUGGUCAGUUUAUGUAUUUAUUUUGUGUUUGAAAGGUAAAACUGGUAAAUGUGCUGUCAUUGAAAUGCCGCGAUAAAUUAAAUACUCCGAGAAAGAUGCUAAAUUCUACAUUCUCAUCAACUGUAAGAAGUAAUACAUUAGUAAAGGGGAAAUUCCUGUUAUCACUUUCAGACCCUCCUACAUGUGUGGGCAGCAGCAAGGCUAACAGAGCCAGCAGAGCUGAAGGCUGUUCCGUGUUCUGCUGAGACCUUCAAGUGCAGUGGUUGCUGGCAGAGUUUACACGCUGCGGACGACCGUGUCUUCAGCUGGAGGCCAACCUCCUUCCAGGUGCUCACCAGUUUCUCUGUGGGAUAUAGAAGAGAGUGGGAAAAGGAUAAGCAGUUGGAACAAGGAUGGGUGCAACUAACCAGAGUCCAAAGAGUACUCACCCUUAUAGGUAUAAUGUGACUGGGACUCUGGAUCACAGGCAGGCCUGCAUCCAUGAGCAUCUGGCGAAUCAGCUUGAC
Molecule: long non-coding RNA, 721 nt
Organism: Paramormyrops kingsleyae
Lineage: Eukaryota; Metazoa; Chordata; Actinopteri; Osteoglossiformes; Mormyridae
Source: RefSeq, a predicted model, not a curated record